This 489-nucleotide ribosomal RNA is filed under the name uncultured bacterium. RNAcentral's name for it is "partial 16S ribosomal RNA". It matches the Rfam family "Bacterial small subunit ribosomal RNA", at positions 30 to 506 of the family's 1533-position model. The record is from RNAcentral.
AUUGAACGCUGGCGGCAGGCCUAACACAUGCAAGUCGAACGGUAACAGGAAGAAGCUUGCUUCUUUGCUGACGAGUGGCGGACGGGUGAGUAAUGUCUGGGAAACUGCCUGAUGGAGGGGGAUAACUACUGGAAACGGUAGCUAAUACCGCAUAACGUCGCAAGACCAAAGAGGGGGACCUUCGGGCCUCUUGCCAUCGGAUGUGCCCAGAUGGGAUUAGCUAGUAGGUGGGGUAACGGCUCACCUAGGCGACGAUCCCUAGCUGGUCUGAGAGGAUGACCAGCCACACUGGAACUGAGACACGGUCCAGACUCCUACGGGAGGCAGCAGUGGGGAAUAUUGCACAAUGGGCGCAAGCCUGAUGCAGCCAUGCCGCGUGUAUGAAGAAGGCCUUCGGGUUGUAAAGUACUUUCAGCGGGGAGGAAGGGAGUAAAGUUAAUACCUUUGCUCAUUGACGUUACUCGCAGAAGAAGCACCGGCUAACUCCGU